UACGAAGGGUGCUAGCGUUGUUCGGAAUUACUGGGCGUAAAGAGCGCGUAGGCGGUUAUACAAGUCAGGGGUGAAAUCCCAGAGCUUAACUCUGGAACUGCCUUUGAAAACUGUAUAGCUGGAGUGUGUGAGGGGAUAGCGGAAUUCUUAAUGUAGAGGUGAAAUUCGUAGAUAUUAAGAGGAACACCGGUGGCGAAGGCGGCUAUCUGGCACACAACUGACGCUGAGGCGCGAAAAGCGUGGGGGAUCAAACAGG
RNAcentral lists this ribosomal RNA (256 nucleotides) under uncultured bacterium. Its description in RNAcentral is "partial 16S ribosomal RNA". It matches the Rfam family "Bacterial small subunit ribosomal RNA", at positions 524 to 776 of the family's 1533-position model. The record is from RNAcentral.